RNAcentral lists this ribosomal RNA (253 nucleotides) under uncultured bacterium. RNAcentral describes it as "partial 16S ribosomal RNA". It matches the Rfam family "Bacterial small subunit ribosomal RNA", at positions 524 to 776 of the family's 1533-position model. The record is from RNAcentral.
UACGUAGGGCGCAAGCGUUAUCCGGAAUUAUUGGGCGUAAAGAGCUCGUAGGCGGUUUGUCGCGUCGGCUGUGAAAACCUGGGGCUCAACCCCGGGCCUGCAGCCGAUACGGGCAAACUAGAAUUCGGUAGGGGAGACUGGAAUUCCUGGUGUAGCGGUGAAAUGCGCAGAUAUCAGGAGGAACACCGGUGGCGAAGGCGGGUCUCUGGGCCGAUAUUGACGCUGAGGAGCGAAAGCGUGGGGAGCAAACAGG